CUUGAAUUUUAUAAGAGGUCCAGCCUGCCCAGUGACUCUGUUCAACGGCCGCGGUAUCCUAACCGUGCGAAGGUAGCGUAAUCACUUGUUCUUUAAAUGAGGACUAGUAUGAAUGGCACUACGAGGGUUAUACUGUCUCCUUUUUCUAAUCAGUGAAAUUAAUUUUCCCGUGAAGAAGCGGGAAUAUGACUAUAAGACGAGAAGACCCUAUGGAGCUUUAAACAACCCAGCAAUUACUUCUAAAAAUUUUAAAUUUCAGAAUAUUCAUUUUUUUAAGUAAUAUGUCUGCAAGUUUUUGGUUGGGGUGACCAUGGAGAAUAACUUAACCUCCAUAUUGAAUGAACUCCAUUCUAAGCUGAAAAUUACCAAUUAAAGCAUCAACACACUGACAUUUAUUGACCCA
This 403-nucleotide ribosomal RNA is filed under the name Rhinella lescurei. Its description in RNAcentral is "partial 16S ribosomal RNA". It matches the Rfam family "Bacterial large subunit ribosomal RNA", at positions 1835 to 2422 of the family's 2925-position model. Lineage: Eukaryota; Metazoa; Chordata; Amphibia; Anura; Bufonidae. The record is from RNAcentral.